AGUGAACGCUGGCGGUAGGCCUAACACAUGCAAGUCGAACGGCAGCACAGUAAGAGCUUGCUCUUACGGGUGGCGAGUGGCGGACGGGUGAGGAAUACAUCGGAAUCUACUUUUUCGUGGGGGAUAACGUAGGGAAACUUACGCUAAUACCGCAUACGACCUACGGGUGAAAGCAGGGGAUCUUCGGACCUUGCGCGAUUGAAUGAGCCGAUGUCGGAUUAGCUAGUUGGCGGGGUAAAGGCCCACCAAGGCGACGAUCCGUAGCUGGUCUGAGAGGAUGAUCAGCCACACUGGAACUGAGACACGGUCCAGACUCCUACGGGAGGAAGCAGUGGGGAAUAUUGGACAAGGGGCGCAAGCCUGAUCCAGCCAUACCGCGUGGGUGAAGAAGGCCUUCGGGUUGUAAAGCCCUUUUGUUGGGAAAGAAAAGCAGCAGGUUAAUACCCCGCUGUUCUGACGGUACCCAAAGAAUAAGCACCGGCUAACUUCGUG
Molecule: ribosomal RNA, 492 nt
Filed under: uncultured bacterium
Lineage: Bacteria
Description: partial 16S ribosomal RNA
Rfam family: Bacterial small subunit ribosomal RNA
Source: RNAcentral